Molecule: ribosomal RNA, 375 nt
Filed under: uncultured bacterium
Lineage: Bacteria
Description: bacterial SSU rRNA
Rfam family: Bacterial small subunit ribosomal RNA
Source: RNAcentral
AUACGUAGGGUGCGAGCGUUAAUCGGAAUUACUGGGCGUAAAGCGUGCGCAGGCGGCUUUGUAAGACAGAUGUGAAAUCCCCGGGCUCAACCUGGGAACUGCAUUUGUGACUGCAAGGCUAGAGUGCGUCAGAGGGAGGUGGAAUUCCGCGUGUAGCAGUGAAAUGCGUAGAGAUGCGGAGGAACACCGAUGGCGAAGGCAGCCUCCUGGGAUGACACUGACGCUCAUGCACGAAAGCGUGGGGAGCAAACAGGAUUAGAUACCCUGGUAGUCCACGCCCUAAACGAUGUCUACUAGUUGUCGGGGAUUCAUUUCCUUGGUAACGCAGCUAACGCGUGAAGUAGACCGCCUGGGGAGUACGGCCGCAAGGUUAAA